This 456-nucleotide long non-coding RNA is filed under the name Homo sapiens (human). RNAcentral describes it as "non-protein coding lnc-PEX26-6:1". The record is from RNAcentral. Lineage: Eukaryota; Metazoa; Chordata; Mammalia; Primates; Hominidae.
AGAGACCAUUUCUUACCACACAUCAGAGAGUCUUCAUGCUUUGGUCUCCUACCUUAGAGAAAGCACUGACUCCAUUCAUCCCAAGGACUGAAAUAAUGGUGCUGAUGAAGAUGAGGCCCCCAGGAAUAACUGCAGCUAUAGUGUAUUCAUCACUUACUACUGAUAUACUGAUUGUCACUGUGAGUUAAGUAUUUAAUACAGCGAUCAGCCUCAUGUGAUAGACAAGAAAAAGGAGACAGAGAGGCUACGUAACUUGCCCCAAGUCACACAGUAAGAGCUGACACCUGAUCCCAGGAAGCCUGGAACCGUGAACACUAAGUAGCCUCUCUACUGAUAUCUGCUAUCAUCUUAAUCCAGAAACCACCCUGUAAGUAGUUAUAAUUAUCUGCAAGUUACAGAUAAGGGGGAAAAUAGAAUUAAGAAAGGUCAGAUCACUUGUCCAACUAGUAAGCUAUA